RNAcentral lists this unclassified non-coding RNA (5050 nucleotides) under Leishmania donovani. RNAcentral describes it as "gene:LdHU3.06.0580(CDS-product:ATP-NAD_kinase-lik e_protein)". The record is from RNAcentral. Lineage: Eukaryota; Euglenozoa; Kinetoplastea; Trypanosomatida; Trypanosomatidae.
CUGCCUUGCACAUUUCGUGUUUUCCUUCUUCCCUCGCCCUGUGUGUGCACGCCUCUUUCGCCUUGUCUCUCCAUCUUCUUCGCUGGCACCACCACCAUCUGCUGCAGCGUGUGCGUGCGUGUGUGUGCACAUCUCUUCCUCUCUCCCUCGUGUGUGUGCGUGUGUGAGGGUCGAGAACCCCAACUCGGUUGUCUUGCCGUUCACACGCGUAGCGCGUGCGACACGCGUGUGUCGGCGUGACGCUUGGCAGCGCUCUCCUUGUCUUUCUUUUUGGCAUCAUUCGUUGCGCCUACCUACUCUCUCACUGACACACGCACACACACACGUAUAUGUAUACGUAUAUACAUACAUGUCUUGCGCAGCAAUCGGUGCAGUUCUCCCCCCUCCUCCUCUUCUUCCUCUUCCUCUCUCUGCCGCUGUGCGUGCGUGUGUAGGUAUUUCUUAGCCAAUUCCUCUCCUCCUCUCCUCACCUUCCUGUAGGCUGCUGCUACUUCACAUCGUCGCAGCCAUAGCAAUCAUCGCCGCUGUGUGCCAUUGUUAGUACUACUGCUGCUGUUUUAGGGCGUCACUGUGUGCCUGCUCGUGUAUAUGGGAGAGGGGCAAGGCUCAAGAGGCAGAUCUGUCACCGCCUUUCAGGAUAGCGAAGGGUGUGCCACACCACCACCAACCUGCCGCUUCUCUCCUCGCCUCUCGCCGUCUCUCUCUGCGUGUGUGUGUGUGGGUGUGUGUGUUUGCCCUUUUCCUUGUGUGUUGGUUACGCGGCAUUUCGCACGGAGCACCACUGGCACGCUACCGUCACCGCCGUUCCCCCUCCCCUCCCGCAUCGAAAGCCGCCGGCUGAGCGAGACGCGCAAAUGCGCCGAAUGCAGGUGGCGCUGUGCACCAGCGGUGACCCGUAUCACGUGCCGUCGCUUGCACGUGUCGCACUCUUCCCGCUGCAUCUGGACCCGCCAACGAAGCAACAUCGCGAGCUGUUCCGGCUGCUGCUCGGCGCGCCAGAUCUCGCCGCCGGGCCGUCGAUGCCCUCCUCUACGGCAUCAAAGCUCGCGUCACCGUUGCCGAGCAUCUCCACCGCUGCCACGUCGGCGGCGGCGGCCGCGUCGUCGUCCUCUUGCCUCCCUCGGCGGUCGCCCUCUGUUUCUCCCGGGCUCUUAUCCGCCACCGCGGUUCCUUCUCAUGCGAAGGCGAUCCAGUCCGGCGUCACUGCGCGGGGGCUGAACGUAUUCGACCGCUCCACUGAGGGGACCAUGAGUACGUCAUUGCCACCGUCACCGGUGGCACAGACCAAGUCUAGCGGCGAAUGGCAGCAGGGCGUUCAUUUCGCGAGUGCGACAGCACCAACGCCGUCGACCGACACCGCGUCGUCCUCCGGCAUCUCCAGCGUCAACGACUCUGACCCCAUCUCCUGCGGCACCUCGUCGCCGUACUGGUACAUGGAGGCGUUCGCAACGAGCCUGCGCGAGGACAGUCAGCUGGCGCCCUUUGACUAUAUCAUCCUUAUCCCCAACACCCGAUACCCUGUCAGCCUGCGUCAAUCGACGCACCUCGCGGCGCUGGCGGUACUUGCGGCGCGCGGCUUGGCUCGCGUGCACGUCGACUUCACCGCGCUGGAGCACCCAGACGAGUCGAUGCCCAUCGUAUACGAGCUCAUCUGCCGCUACCCCAACAGCGUGCUGGUCCACUGGCUGCAUGACGCUUACGAGGUGCUCAACUGGAGCCACUUCGCCGACUUCAAGUCGACGGUGCCGAUGCUGCUGCUGCAGACGCAGAGCUACCCACCGAAGGCGCUGGAGCGACAGCGGCCGAUGGGCAGCGUGUCGCGGCUCACGUCACGACAGUAUCACUCGCCGAUUGGCCAGUACGUGCGCAGCCCGGAGGAGGCGGACUACUAUCGGCGCGCAGAGCGCUUUAUGAAAGCGGCAUCCAAGUACCGCCGACGCAACGCGACGCCCAUGACGACGGCGACAGCAGACGGCGGCGAUCCGGAGAGGCGCUACGAGAGUGCCUCGCUGGUGGAUCGGGAGUCGGACUACUUCGACGACGUCCCCAACGUGCCGUCGCCGCGGCGUAGGCUCGACGAAGACGUGCCGGAAAGCGGCACCGAGGCGACCAAGAGGUCUCUACAGCCGGAGUACGCGAAGGUGCUGGCCCGCUCGCCGCUGCUGCGCGGCGUCGACACCACGACGCGGACGGCCUCCACGGCCUCCACCUCGGUCUCCAUCUCCGCCGCUGGAGGUCGCGCGACAGGCCUGAAAACGGGACUCCCGUGGCGGGAGUCCUCGUCGGUGCACGGGGAACCGGGGCUGAGCUACGUGAACUGCGCCAAAGGUCGCUGGUGGAACACGCCUGGCGGCCGCGGCGAUGACGAGGUCGAGGUGAGCCGCUCGUACUGGAGCUCCACUAGCAGCAGCUGGCUCGGCGGCGGCACUGCAUCAUCUGCGGCUCUGCCCGAGUGGAUGGAGGAGGAAGGGGUGACGACGGCGGACCACGCGCGGGGAAGGCACCAGCGCCGCCGCGUCAGAGACGCCUCUACCGUCGCUGCCGAAGCCCACGAAGCAGGUGACGUCUUCGAGACGGGCGACUGCUCCGGUGAGAGUGAUCAGAGGUCGCAGAAAAUGGACACGGUGGUGUCUGACGACGGCUUUGCGCUCAUGGAGGACACUCCGGCGGACGAGGGAGCCGGCGCCGGGGUCUCUCGAGCAGGCUCAAAAACGAACACUGAGAGGAGGCAGCUCUCUCUGGCCAAGUCGGUGGCUGGUGCGGCGUCUAUAACCACGAGAGCAGGCACGGCGCCCGCCGUGCCCACCUCGCCGGAGGGUCGCGAGGCCGCAGACGAAGAAACCCGCAAGCGCUUUCUGACCCGCGAGAUCGAGGAGGUACGUGCGGAGCUGAAGCGCAUGCUAAGGCCGGGCAGCGCCGCCGCCGCCACCGCUGUUUCCAUGACUACCUCGGGUGGCGUCACCACGGGCGCUGCCGCUGCUGCUGCAGGCGGGAACUCCUCUGACGGGGUAGGAGCGGCGAGGUCGAGCUCAGCAUCGGGCGGCCGGGUAUCGAAGACGCGCGCUAACAUCACGGCUCGUCUCGCCGCUCACUGCGCUGCCAGCCCUUUCGGCGCUGAGGAUGCUCGCCACGAAGAGCACUACCCGGCGCGACGUCGCAACCGCACCGUGCGCCAGCUGAUCGACGAGCUCUACCCGCCGCGCGCGUAUGCCUCCGUGAGCGCUGCGACUAGCGCGAGCGCCGCGUCCGCGGCCACAGAAGCCGGCGUGGUGGGCGCCACAUUCGCCACGGACUCAUCGCACUUCUUUUCGUCGUCGCAUCCGAUGCUGAAGCCCAGGGCAGAGCCGCAGUCCUCUGCGGCUGCGAUGCCGUUCAACCAACACGACGGCAGCAGCCACAACUACGAGAGCGGCGACCGAAAUAGCAGCAGCGGCAGCGCGUUUAUGGACCUCAGCGCGUGGUUGGACGCACCAAUGGUGGAGGUUCACCCCAUCACGCGGAGCACCGGCGCGGAUGUGCGGCAGGCGCUUUGGGAGCAGGAGAUCCACCCCUCUUUCAUCUUAACGGAUUGCGUGCAGCGGUACGUUGAGGGGCAUGGCCUCUACCGCGACCCCCGUAAGGCAACAGCCGCCUCUCUCUACGGCAGCGUCGGCGUCAGCAGCGACUACGGCAACGGCGCCCGCAGCGGCAGCGGUGGCGGUGGCGGCGCCUCCGGACUGGGCGGCAGCGCCGGGGCGGUGGGACAGAUGGGUGGCUCCGAUGCCGGGUUCCGCGACUCGGCGGCGGCCGGCGUCUGCGGUGCUAGCAGUGGCGUCGGCGGCGGCAUGGGCAACAGCGCCGGCGGCAGUAUUGGCAUCCGCCGCGUCGUUGCCCCACGCGACACGGCCACGCUCUCCUUUCCUGGGCUCAUCCCUCGUCUGGAACUCCACUACGAUCGCAACAACCUCCUUGCACGAGAGCAGUACGAGAAGCUGCGCAUUUUCCAGUGUCAGGACGGCGAGGAGCCGGACCUGAUUGUGCCUAUCGGCGGCGAUGGGUACAUGAUGCACUGCAUCCGCAAGAACUGGCGACGCUUCAUCCCCUUCUACGGCGUCAACGCCGGCCACGUCGGCUACUUGCUGAACGACCGCUCUACCUUGGAGGAGCUCUUCUCCUCGCCGCUGAAGCUGCACUUCACGACAAUGCUAUACUGCCAGGCGGAGAAGGAGAGCGACACGGGCGAGCGGAUGUUGCUGUCGGAGCUGGCGUUCAACGAUGCCUGGGUGGAGCGGUCGAGCGGGCAGACGGCGCUGAUCCGCAUUCUCGUCAACGGGCAGGAGCGCAUUCGACGGCUGCGUGGUGAUGGCGUGCUUGUCUCCACGGCCGCCGGCAGCACAGCCUACAGCCAGGCUCUGGGCGCGUCCCCUGUGCCGGUGGGCGCACCGCUCAUCCAAAUCGUCGGAAGCAACGUUGUAUCGCCCGCGCAGUGGCGACCGGCGCAUCUCGAUCAGGAAGACCAGGUGGAGUUCGAGGUCAUCGACAGCACAAAGCGGCCAUGCCGCUGCUACGUCGACUCCGUUGAUGUUGGUAACGUAACGCGCUUGCUCAUCCGGUCCAGCCGAGUCGCCGGCGUGACCCUCGCCUUCUCGAAGAGCUGCGAUUUGCAGCACAAGUUGUACCAGAUGCAGUUCCCCAAGACGCUGUGAAGGUGGCAAGGUAGUCGGGGUCUGAGGGGGUGAGGGUGGGGGAGAGAGAUGGGUCUUGGCUGAUUCUGCCCAUGCAUGUCUGUCUCUGCUUCUGCCGUGUGUAUGUGUGCGUGCGCGUUGACAAGAAGUCCGCCACUACCACAGCAGCGGCAGCAGCAGGCGCAGCUUACCAUCUGCGUGCACCCCGUGCCCACAUCAGUCGACACACGCGCCACGGCGCUUUACCUCGCCGGCCUCGUCGUCCUCCUCAAACAAUCGUAUCCCUUCUUCUUUCCGUUGCUUGGGCCAUCGUGUGAGGGGGAUGCUCACGGUACAUCUCUGUCGCUGCCGUCUCCCUCUCUUUGUCGUUCGCGUUAUGCAUUUUC